This 253-nucleotide ribosomal RNA is filed under the name uncultured bacterium. RNAcentral's name for it is "partial 16S ribosomal RNA". It matches the Rfam family "Bacterial small subunit ribosomal RNA", at positions 524 to 776 of the family's 1533-position model. The record is from RNAcentral.
UACGUAGGGGGCAAGCGUUGUCCGGAUUUAUUGGGCGUAAAGAGCGUGUAGGCGGCCAAAUAGGUCGGUUGUGAAAACUGGAGGCUUAACCUCCAGACGUCGACCGAAACCAUCUGGCUAGAGUCCGGAAGAGGAGAGUGGAAUUCCUGGUGUAGCGGUGAAAUGCGCAGAUAUCAGGAAGAACACCGGUGGCGAAGGCGGGUCUCUGGGCCGAAACUGACGCUGAGGAGCGAAAGCGUGGGGAGCGAACAGG